AGAGCGAACGCUGGCGGCAGGCCUAACACAUGCAAGUCGAGCGCCCCGCAAGGGGAGCGGCAGACGGGAGAGUAACACGUGGGAACGUACCCUUUGGUUCGGAACAACACAGGGAAACUUGUGCUAAUACCGGAUAAGCCCUUACGGGGAAAGAUUUAUCGCCAAAGGAUCGGCCCGCGUCUGAUUAGCUUGUUGGUGAGGUAACGGCUCACCAAGGCUACGAUCAGUAGCUGGUCUGAGAGGAUGAUCAGCCUCACUGGGACUGAGACACGGCCCAGACUCCUACGGGAGGCAGCAGUGGGGAAUAUUGGACAAUGGGCGCAAGCCUGAUCCAGCCAUGCCGCGUGGAUGAUGAAGGCCCUAGGGUUGUAAAGUCCUUUCGGACGGGGAAGAUAAUGACGGUACCGUAGAAGAAGCCCCGGCUAACUUCGCGCCAGCAGCCGC
Molecule: ribosomal RNA, 444 nt
Filed under: uncultured bacterium
Lineage: Bacteria
Description: SSU rRNA
Rfam family: Bacterial small subunit ribosomal RNA
Source: RNAcentral